This 709-nucleotide ribosomal RNA is filed under the name uncultured bacterium. RNAcentral's name for it is "bacterial SSU rRNA". It matches the Rfam family "Bacterial small subunit ribosomal RNA", at positions 59 to 766 of the family's 1533-position model. The record is from RNAcentral.
CAGUCGAACGAAGCGCCUUAUUUGAUUUUCUUCGGAACUGAAGAUUUGGUGACUGAGUGGCGGACGGGUGAGUAACGCGUGGGUAACCUGCCCUGUACAGGGGGAUAACAAUCAGAAAUGACUGCUAAUACCGCAUAAGACCACAGCACCGCAUGGUGCAGGGGUAAAAACUCCGGUGGUACAGGAUGGACCCGCGUCUGAUUAGCUGGUUGGUGAGGUAACGGCUCACCAAGGCGACGAUCAGUAGCCGGCUUGAGAGAGUGAACGGCCACGUUGGGACUGAGACACGGCCCAAACUCCUACGGGAGGCAGCAGUGGGGAAUAUUGCACAAUGGGGGAAACCCUGAUGCAGCGACGCCGCGUGAGUGAAGAAGUAUCUCGGUAUGUAAAGCUCUAUCAGCAGGGAAGAAAAUGACGGUACCUGACUAAGAAGCCCCGGCUAACUACGUGCCAGCAGCCGCGGUAAUACGUAGGGGGCAAGCGUUAUCCGGAAUUACUGGGUGUAAAGGGUGCGUAGGUGGUAUGGCAAGUCAGAAGUGAAAACCCAGGGCUUAACUCUGGGACUGCUUUUGAAACUGUCAGACUGGAGUGCAGGAGAGGUAAGCGGAAUUCCUAGUGUAGCGGUGAAAUGCGUAUAUAUUAGGAGGAACAUCAGUGGCGAAAGCGGCUUACUGGACUGAAACUGACACUGAGGCACGAAAGCGUGGGG